RNAcentral lists this ribosomal RNA (1321 nucleotides) under uncultured archaeon. Its description in RNAcentral is "partial 16S ribosomal RNA". It matches the Rfam family "Archaeal small subunit ribosomal RNA". The record is from RNAcentral.
GCAGUAUUCUAGUAAUAGAUGCGAAAGGCUCAGUAACACGUCGCUAAUCUGCCCUAAGGUCAGGAAUAACUACGGGAAACUGUGGCUAAUACCUGAUAAGGAACAAAUACUGGAAUGUAUUGUUCUCUAAACUCGAGCCUUAGGAUGAGGUGGCGGCCGAUUAGGUUGUUGGCGGUGUAAUGGACCACCAAGCCGAAGAUCGGUACGGGCCAUGAGAGUGGUAGCCCGGAGAGGGACACUGAGAUACUGGUCCCAGCCCUACGGGGUGCAGCAGGCGCGAAACCUUUACAAUGCACGCAAGUGUGAUAAGGGGAUCCCAAGUGCUCAAGUAAUGCUUGGGCUUUUGUUAUGUGUAAAUAGCAUAGCGAAUAAGUGGUGGGAAAGACUGGUGCCAGCCGCCGCGGUAACACCAGCGCCACAAGUGGCAAUCGCGAUUAUUGGGCCUAAAGCGUCCGUAGCAGGUUUUGUAGAUCUCUUGUGAAAGUGACAGGCCUAACCUGUCAGAGUGCAGGGGAAACUGCAAAACUUGGGACCGGGAGGGGUAUGAGGUAUUCCUGAGGGAGCGGUAAAAUGCUAUAAUCUCAGGAGGACCACCUGUGGCGAAGGCGUCAUACCAGAACGGAUCCGACUGUGAGGGACGAAAGCUAGGGGAGCGAACCGGAUUAGAUACCCGGGUAGUCCCAGCCGUAAACGAUGCUCGCUAGGUGUCUGGGAUGGUGCGACCGUUUCAGGUGCCGCAGGGAAGCCGUGAAGCGAGCCACCUGGGAAGUACGGCCGCAAGGCUGAAACUUAAAGGAAUUGGCGGGGGAGCACUACAACGGGUGGAGCCUGCGGUUUAAUUGGACUCAACGCCGGAAAACUCACCUGGGGCGACAGCAAUAUGUAGGUCAGGCUGAAGGUCUUACCUGAAUCGCUGAGAGGAGGUGCAUGGCCGUCGUCAGUUCGUACUGUGAAGCAUCCUGUUAAGUCAGGCAACGAGCGAGACCCGUGCCCACUGUUGCCAGCAUAUCCUUCGGGAUGAUGGGUACUCUGUGGGGACCGCCGGUGCUAAACCGGAGGAAGGUGCGGGCUACGGUAGGUCAGUAUGCCCCGAAUCUCCAGGGCUACACGCGGGCUACAAUGGACGGGACAAUGGGUUUCAACAUCGAAAGAUGAAGGUAAUCCCGAAACCUGGUCAUAGUUCGGAUUGAGGGUUGAAACUCACCCUCAUGAAGCUGGAAUCCGUAGUAAUCGCGGAUCAACAUCCCGCGGUGAAUAUGCCCCUGCUCCUUGCACACACCGCCCGUCAAACCAUGCGAGUUGGGUCAAAGUGAGGAUGUAG